AACGAACGCUGGCGGCAGGCCUAACACAUGCAAGUCGAACGGUUGUAGCAAUACAGCAGUGGCAGACGGGUGAGUAACACGUGGGAACCUUCCUAGAGGUACGGAACAACGCAGGGAAACUUGCGCUAAUACCGUAUACGCUCUUGCGAGGAAAGAUUUAUCGCCUUUAGACGGGCCCGCGUCGGAUUAGCUAGUUGGUGAGGUAACGGCUCACCAAGGCGACGAUCCGUAGCUGAUCUGAGAGGAUGAUCAGCCACACUGGGACUGAGACACGGCCCAGACUCCUACGGGAGGCAGCAGUGGGGAAUCUUGGACAAUGGGCGCAAGCCUGAUCCAGCCAUGCCGCGUGAGUGAAGAAGGCCUUCGGGUUGUAAAGCUCUUUUGUCAGGGACGAUAAUGACGGUACCUGAAGAAUAAGCCCCGGCAAACUUCGUGCCAGCAGCCGCGGUAA
Molecule: ribosomal RNA, 451 nt
Filed under: uncultured bacterium
Lineage: Bacteria
Description: partial 16S ribosomal RNA
Rfam family: Bacterial small subunit ribosomal RNA
Source: RNAcentral